RNAcentral lists this ribosomal RNA (1293 nucleotides) under Rodentibacter ratti. RNAcentral describes it as "bacterial LSU rRNA". It matches the Rfam family "Bacterial large subunit ribosomal RNA", at positions 1638 to 2912 of the family's 2925-position model. Lineage: Bacteria; Pseudomonadati; Pseudomonadota; Gammaproteobacteria; Pasteurellales; Pasteurellaceae. The record is from RNAcentral.
UAAACCGUACUGAAAACCGACACAGGUGGUCAGGUAGAGAAUACUCAGGCGCUUGAGAGAACUCGGGUGAAGGAACUAGGCAAAAUAGCACCGUAACUUCGGGAGAAGGUGCGCCGGCGUAGCUUGUAGCGUCUUGCACGUGAAGGGUGAACCGGUCGAAGAUACCAGCUGGCUGCAACUGUUUAUUAAAAACACAGCACUCUGCAAACACGAAAGUGGACGUAUAGGGUGUGAUGCCUGCCCGGUGCUGGAAGGUUAAUUGAUGGUGUAAUCGAAAGAGAAGCUCCUGAUCGAAGCCCCAGUAAACGGCGGCCGUAACUAUAACGGUCCUAAGGUAGCGAAAUUCCUUGUCGGGUAAGUUCCGACCUGCACGAAUGGCAUAAUGAUGGCCAGGCUGUCUCCACCCGAGACUCAGUGAAAUUGAAAUCGCCGUGAAGAUGCGGUGUACCCGCGGCUAGACGGAAAGACCCCGUGAACCUUUACUAUAGCUUGACACUGAACAUUGAAUUUUGAUGUGUAGGAUAGGUGGGAGACUAUGAAGUAGGAACGCCAGUUUCUAUGGAGUCGUCCUUGAAAUACCACCCUUUAACGUUUGAUGUUCUAACGAAGAUUGCGGAACGCGGUCUCGGACAGUGUCUGGUGGGUAGUUUGACUGGGGCGGUCUCCUCCCAAAGUGUAACGGAGGAGCACGAAGGUUUGCUAAUGACGGUCGGACAUCGUCAGGUUAGUGCAAUGGUAUAAGCAAGCUUAACUGCGAGACAGACAAGUCGAGCAGGUACGAAAGUAGGUCAUAGUGAUCCGGUGGUUCUGCAUGGAAGGGCCAUCGCUCAACGGAUAAAAGGUACUCCGGGGAUAACAGGCUGAUACCGCCCAAGAGUUCAUAUCGACGGCGGUGUUUGGCACCUCGAUGUCGGCUCAUCACAUCCUGGGGCUGAAGUAGGUCCCAAGGGUAUGGCUGUUCGCCAUUUAAAGUGGUACGCGAGCUGGGUUUAGAACGUCGUGAGACAGUUCGGUCCCUAUCUGCCGUGGGCGUAGGAGAAUUGAUUGGGGCUGCUCCUAGUACGAGAGGACCGGAGUGGACGCACCACUGGUGUUCGGGUUGUGUCGCCAGACGCAUUGCCCGGUAGCUAAGUGCGGAAGAGAUAAGUGCUGAAAGCAUCUAAGCACGAAACUUGCCAAGAGAUGAGUUCUCCCAGACUUAGUGUCUGUAAGGGUUGUUGUAGACUACGACGUAGAUAGGUGGGGUGUGUAAGUGUAGUGAUACAUUGAGCUAACCCAUACUAAUUGCCCGAG